GCGGAGGCUGGGGGCUGGCGGACGCAUCGAGCUAUGCCUGGUCCCGAUUGUGAACUUGGCAGCGGCUGCUUGGCGUGGAUAACCCCAGUGGCCACUAACCAGGAACACCUGCUGGCCCCGUUACCCGGAACGGGAGGAGAAGAUGGGCAUCUCCAGCGGAAUUCCACCGUGGAAUAUGGAAGUGUUUAAAGGAAGACCUUCCCCUGCUCAGGGUAGCAGAGAUCUGAACCUUUAAAUUGCAGCCAUCCCCGGCCUGACGAUAAGUGAUUCACAGGCCUAAAUGAGCUGUUUGAUGCUGGAGCUGGAAUUUAUUUGAAUCCUGGACUAUGAUGCCAUGGAGGGAUGGAUCUCUGGAUCUGGAUCACACUCUGAUCACUCCAUUGUUAAUUUUUAUGUGGGCAAAAUGAAUUCUUGGGCUCUCUGGUGAAGGGAGAAAAGUAGGGAGCAACUCACAGCAGGACCUCAGCUUCCUUCUCAUUGAAUCAUGAGCUUUUCUUGAAGCCAUGGCAGGAGCUGUGCUGGAAAUGGUGCCGUGGGAGUCUGUAUCCCAGGUCAGGAGACCAGACAUCAAAUCCCUGGUGCAUCUUGGCAGCUGGGAACGCUCCGGCAAACCAGGAAUGCUCCAGCAAACCAGGAAUGCUCCAGCAAACCCUGCCAAAGCCGCUGCAGGGAGCACAUCACCAGCACUGCAAACGACAACCCACCCCUGGCUGAAGCCAAAGCUCCACAGUCCAUGUGAAAUCCCACCUGCAGUUCUGCAACUGCCUGUGAAGAAAUGGAUAGUCAUGCAAACACAACAAAAUCAGCCUGGAUCCACGGGAAUGACUUCACAUGGCAUCGUGGGGAGGCAGCAGGAAUUUUGCAAGGAAUUAAUACACCAGGAAACCCAGAUGUGUGCAGCUAAGCCAAAAAGCAGAGGGAGAGCCAUCCUGCUUUUAUUUCCAGCAGACAGAGGAAAAGCAGCGUUGCCCACCCAGAGUUAAAGAACAGGAGCAGAUAAUUAUCAGCACAGAACAAUUGGGGGUGUCAUCAUCUGCUAAACCACUUUACCUGGCUGAUUAUGAACUCAUUCAGAUAACCUCCACUCUUUUUUUUGUUAUCAAAUAUUGUAAAUAUAUGUUAUGAGUGUUGAUUUAUUUGUCUGGAAGCUGGGAAGAAAAAUAUGGAGGGAAUAGUCUUGCAUUCCACAGUUACAGAAAUAAAUCAGCAUGGAUUUCACUCCAAGUACAUGUUCUUGAAUAAGUUAUAAGAGCACCUGUCCAUUCAUUAAGGAGUUUUCCUUCAAAUUAAUUAUUAAGACUGGAAAAUAGACAGUGAAAGUACCUUAAAUCAUGAGCAAGUGCAGUACCACCCUUGGUUCCCAAAAUAGAAAGGGCAUCUCCAUCAGGAAAAUGCAAGUCAGCUUUAGAAAGAUUUUACACUCAGAGCAUUUUUAUUUUGAGUGCCAUGGGCACAGCUUUGGCAAUAUUAUUUCACUCAGAAUAUUCCCAAAACUGAACUGAUUUCACAUGAACCAUGGAGAACUUUCAUAUUUGUGCAGAAUUUCUUUGGCAGCCUUUUGUUUCAGCGGUGAAAAGUGAUCCAGUCCCAUAGACAGCAUUUUGAUUUCUUCAUUAUGGAAAGAAAAGAAGCAAAAAGGAGUGUUUCCAGCCUUUAAACAGAACCUAACUUUGGUGUAUUUCAGUUAUUCUUUCCCAGCCUGUAAUUCCCCUUCUUUUCCAGUGAUAAGAUGUAAGCAGUAAAUCUCCAAGGAACAGGGAUCACCUAAAAAUAUUUUUGGAAAAAAAACAUGGAAAAAUCAGAAUUUUAAAUAAUUUCUUCCCUUUUUCCAUUGGAAAGAAAAUUCUGAACACUUUCAAAAUAACAAUUCAACAUUUUUGCUAACAAUUUCUAUUCUUUUUUUUUUUUGUGUGUGUACCUGAGUAUUGAUUCCCAGUAAUGAGACUCCCACUGAUUUCACUGAGUUUUGGAUUAAAUUCCUGGGCAAGAUUUGAGCCAGUGAUGUAAUGAUACAAAACUGGAGAGCCCAUUCCUUUUCCCUGAUGCAGCCAGCACAUUACACUGGAGAAAUGCAACAUUUUUCCCAUCUGAAUAAUUUCUACAGAAUUUCAAAGAGCCCAAUUUUUCUCUCUUUGUCACUGAUUGCAUCAGUCUGUUUUACAGUAUCUUCAAAAAUUUUAGUCUGCAAGCUAAAAAAAGGGUUGGACAACAGCAGACUCACUUUUUUUCCUAUUUUUUAAAAAAUUAUUUGGGAUAUUUCUGAUAUUUGUUUUUGGGGGAGAUGUUGAAAUCGGGAUUCUGGAGCAUUUCUCCACUUCUUUGCAGUUCGUUAAACUCCGGGGUUUUUUUUUGCCUGAGGGCAUCCCCAUACCUCAGAAUCAUCUAAAAAACUAAGGACACCCUUUUUAGCUCCUCCAGUUGGGGCAAGGCACAUCGGGAUUGAGGGGAAAAAAGAGGGAAAAAAGGCAAACCCACUGUUUUUGGAGUUGGAAAUUGCUACCGGAGGUGUCCUGCUCCCCUUGGAUGUUCUGGAGAACAUCAGCCAGGCUGAGCUGAGCCCUGGGCUCCAAUCCCUCUCUGCUCCCCCCAGGUCUCUGCUCCGCUUAAUCCUGUCAGAAAAGUCUCCAGCAAACAUUUGUAAUUGCAGGGAGAAAGAACACUGCUGUCUUUCUUUUUUUCCCUGACUUGACAUCUAUCAAAUUUAGUUUAAGUGUUCCCCUGGGUCAGGCGAGUUGCUGAGCUAUAAACUAAAAAUAAUUAAAAUAAAAUAUUAAAAAAAACCUCAAGCCUGCUUGCCAGGAGGGUAUCGUUGGGAGCUAGCAGCUCUCAGUCAUGGAUUUCAGAGGGCUGGAGCAGCUGAAACAAGGCAGGUAGGCUUCAUGCAGCAAAAAACCUGAAAUUCUUUGAUAUUUUAAUGCUACAGGCUUGAUCCUUGCACUUCAGGACAAGUUUCUGUAACAGGCAUUCAGAAUUGAAAUUAAUUUUUUAUGCAAUACUGCAGCUAAUGUAAAUUUUACAUCCAAAAGGAAAGGCAGAGAAAGGUGGAAGGAAUAGUCCUGCUUAACAUCCCAGAUAAUUAAAACCUCGCUCUGACAAUCCCUUCAAGUCCCCUUCCCAUACUAUAAAAGAUGACUCUGCCAAUUUAUUGACCCCAGCUGAUGGAUCAGCCAUCCCCAAAAUUGGAAAUUCUGGUCACAAUGACUUCAAGUUUGGCUGCAACCCGCCCAGACAGACAGCAUGUUCCCAGACUGGUCACAUUCAUAAAUGUCAUAAAAAACAUACUUGUUCUCUGACAUGCACAAAAUAAAAUCCUCCAACAAGACAUCUCUAACCAGAAAGGCAUGAAGGAAAAAUCUGUGAGCACGUGACAGGGAAUGAAGGCUGCUCCGAGUGGUAUUUUGACAUUGGUGGAAGUAAAACCGAAAUAAAA
Long non-coding RNA from Passer domesticus (house sparrow), 3430 nucleotides. RefSeq lists it as uncharacterized. The transcript has 7 exons. NCBI's taxonomy places the organism in Eukaryota, Metazoa, Chordata, Aves, Passeriformes, Passeridae. The record is from RefSeq and is a predicted model, not a curated record.